CUAGCGACUUCAGAGUUUGAUCCUGGCUCAGGACGAACGCUGGCGGCAUGCCUAACACAUGCAAGUCGAACGGAACUUGUUGGAUGAAGUUUUCGGAUGGAUUUUGAUAAGUUUAGUGGCGGACGGGUGAGUAACGCGUGAGCAACCUGCCUUUCAGAGGGGGACAACAGUUGGAAACGACUGCUAAUACCGCAUAACGUAUUUCGGAGGCAUCUCUGAGAUACCAAAGAUUAUAUCGCUGAAAGAUGGGCUCGCGUACGAUUAGAUAGUUGGUGAGGUAACGGCUCACCAAGUCGACGAUCGUUAGCCGGACUGAGAGGUUGAACGGCCACAUUGGGACUGAGACACGGCCCAG
RNAcentral lists this ribosomal RNA (355 nucleotides) under uncultured bacterium. RNAcentral describes it as "bacterial SSU rRNA". It matches the Rfam family "Bacterial small subunit ribosomal RNA", at positions 1 to 334 of the family's 1533-position model. The record is from RNAcentral.